CCUACGGGGGGCUGCAGUGGGGAAUCUUGGACAAUGGGCGAAAGCCUGAUCCAGCAAUGCCGCGUGCGUGAAGAAGGCCUUCGGGUUGUAAAGCGCUUUUGUCUGGGAGCAAAUCCUGGCCUCUAAUACAGGUCGGGGAUGAGAGUACCAGAAGAAUAAGGACCGGCUAACUACGUGCCAGCAGCCGCGGUAAUACGUAGGGUCCAAGCGUUAAUCGGAAUUACUGGGCGUAAAGCGUCCGCAGGUGGCUUGAUAAGAUAGACGUGAAAUCCCUG
This 275-nucleotide ribosomal RNA is filed under the name uncultured Deefgea sp. RNAcentral's name for it is "partial 16S ribosomal RNA". It matches the Rfam family "Bacterial small subunit ribosomal RNA", at positions 338 to 605 of the family's 1533-position model. Lineage: Bacteria; Pseudomonadati; Pseudomonadota; Betaproteobacteria; Neisseriales; Chitinibacteraceae. The record is from RNAcentral.